UGCAAGUCGAGCGCACCUUCGGGUGAGCGGCGGACGGGUUAGUAACGCGUGGGAACAUACCCUUUGGUACGGAAUAGCCUCUGGAAACGGAGAGUAAUACCGUAUGAGCCCUUCGGGGGAAAGAUUUAUCGCCAAAGGAUUGGCCCGCGUUAGAUUAGGUAGUUGGUGGGGUAAUGGCCUACCAAGCCUACGAUCUAUAGCUGGUUUUAGAGGAUGAUCAGCAACACUGGGACUGAGACACGGCCCAGACUCCUACGGGAGGCAGCAGUGGGGAAUCUUGGACAAUGGGGGCAACCCUGAUCCAGCCAUGCCGCGUGAGUGAUGAAGGCCUUAGGGUCGUAAAGCUCUUUCGCCUGUGAAGAUAAUGACGGUAGCAGGUAAAGAAACCCCGGCUAACUCCGUGCCAGCAGCCGCGGUAAUACGGAGGGGGUUAGCGUUGUUCGGAAUUACUGGGCGUAAAGCGCACGUAGGCGGACUGGAAAGUUGGGGGUGAAAUCCCAGGGCUCAACCCUGGAACUGCCUCCAAAACUAUCAGUCUAGAGUUCGAGAGAGGUGAGUGGAAUUCCGAGUGUAGAGGUGAAAUUCGUAGAUAUUCGGAGGAACACCAGUGGCGAAGGCGGCUCACUGGCUCGAUACUGACGCUGAGGUGCGAAAGUGUGGGGAGCAAACAGGAUUAGAUACCCUGGUAGUCCACACCGUAAACGAUGAAUGCCAGUCGUCGGGUAGCAUGCUAUUC
This 736-nucleotide ribosomal RNA is filed under the name Ruegeria sp. AU610. RNAcentral describes it as "bacterial SSU rRNA". It matches the Rfam family "Bacterial small subunit ribosomal RNA", at positions 56 to 841 of the family's 1533-position model. The record is from RNAcentral. Lineage: Bacteria; Pseudomonadati; Pseudomonadota; Alphaproteobacteria; Rhodobacterales; Roseobacteraceae.